This 1215-nucleotide long non-coding RNA is filed under the name Rattus norvegicus (Norway rat). RNAcentral describes it as "long non-coding RNA NONRATT024146". The record is from RNAcentral. Lineage: Eukaryota; Metazoa; Chordata; Mammalia; Rodentia; Muridae.
AAAAUGUGUGGAAACAAAACAUGUUAUUCUCCAUUAACAAGUGCAUUCUUACCUAAAUAAAAACUAAAAGUAUUUAAAUGAAGAUUUUCAAAAUAGAACACAAAAAGCAACACUAAUAAGGUAUACUAUUGUGUAAUUAUUGUGUAAUUGUAUUUAUUGUAUAGUACAGUAAAAGAACUGAUCUAGAACUUUUUGAGGAUAAUGAAAGAAAAAAGAUUGAACCUGAUUUAAAAUCACCAAAAAUUUAGAUUAAAUGGAUUUAACCAAUGGAAGAUAAGCACAUGGACAGUAGUUAGGAUUGUCAGUCAUCAGAGAUUUUACGAAUGUGUUAGCUACUGUCCUGAUGACUAAAAUGAGCAGGACUGGAAACUGGCUGGUAAGGACAUGGAUCAGAACUAUUACAUUGCUGCUGGGAGGAAAAUUACAUUAAUUUGAAAACCUGUCUACUUUCAGGUCUAAAUUCAAGGAAAGAUGAAUGCUUAUGUCUUCAUAAGAUAUCCUUCCCACCGGAUAUGCAGUGUACAUUUAAAUUCAAAAUUUGUAUGCCUCUUACAGGGUUAAAAUGAAUAUAUGCUCAUUUGAGAGCAGCAUAUGUUUGACAUAAAAGCUAUCCUUUUCACCUUGUCAAGAUAUAUUUGUUAGAUUUAGUAUGUCUGCAUUCUUGUCAAAAUAGAAUGCCUGCUUAUAUUGCAUUAUAUUAUUGUCUCAGGAAAUUAUGCAGAAGAAAUGCUUUUAAUAUCAUUAAUGGAUUUUUUUUUUUUACUGUUCCCAUGGAGGUUUUUAAAAAUUGCCUACCUAUUUAUGUUUUACAUCCUGACCACAGUUUCCCUCCCCUCCUCUCCUCCCAGGUCCCCCUACCUCCUUAAGUGUCUUUUAAUUCAUUUCCAUUAUUCUUGGGUAAGCGUCUUCAAGAGGGUUUGUGUUUUGACAAUCUGUAAUUAUUAACGCACUGUAACCACUAGAUGUCACUGUAAUUCUAGUAAUGAAAAAUUAUCUCAAGUACUUGAAAUGUUUAAUACAACAGCUUCAGAAGAACUAGUUUAAAAUCUUUAUUUUAGUAAAUAGUGUUUGGUUAAAUAUUGGAUUUAUUGUCAUAACUUUGGUAUUUUGGUAUAUUAGGUUCCAUUAAAAUGAUGAAAAGUGCUCCAUUUGAUUUCCUUUUUUAAAUAUUUAUUUUAUAUGUAUGGGCUUUGGGUCUGUAUUCCGUGUGUGCAC